This 439-nucleotide ribosomal RNA is filed under the name uncultured bacterium. RNAcentral's name for it is "partial 16S ribosomal RNA". It matches the Rfam family "Bacterial small subunit ribosomal RNA", at positions 339 to 795 of the family's 1533-position model. The record is from RNAcentral.
CUACGGGUCGCUCCAGUAGGGAAUAUUGCACAAUGGAGGAAACUCUGAUGCAGCAACGCCGCGUGGAGGAUGACGCAUUUCGGUGUGUAAACUCCUUUUAUAUAGAAAGAUUAUGACGGUACUAUAUGAAUAAGCACCGGCUAACUCCGUGCCAGCAGCCGCGGUAAUACGGGGGGUGCAAGCGUUACUCGGAAUCACUGGGCGUAAAGGGAGCGCAGGCGGGUUAAUAAGUGUCUUGUGAAAGCCUGUGGCUUAACCAUAGAAUUGCAAGACAAACUGUUAGCCUAGAGUUCAGAAGAAGUAACUGGAAUUGGUGGUGUAGGGGUAAAAUCCGUAGAGAUCACCAGGAAUGCCAACGGCGAAAGCAAGUUACUGGGAUGAUACUGACGCUGAGGCUCGAAAGCGUGGGGAGCAAACAGGAUUAGAUACCCUAGUAGUC